This 443-nucleotide ribosomal RNA is filed under the name uncultured bacterium. Its description in RNAcentral is "partial 16S ribosomal RNA". It matches the Rfam family "Bacterial small subunit ribosomal RNA", at positions 338 to 795 of the family's 1533-position model. The record is from RNAcentral.
CCUACGGGUGGCAGCAGUGGGGGAUAUUGGGCAAUGGGCGCAAGCCUGACCCAGCAACGCCGCGUGAAGGAAGGAGGCUUUCGGGUUGUAAACUUCUUUUCUCAGGGACGAAGCAAGUGACGGUACCUGUGGAAUAAGCCACGGCUAACUACGUGACAGCAGCCGCGGUAAUACGUAGGUGGAGAGCGUUAUCCGGAUUUACUGGGUGUAAAGGGCGUGUAGGCGGGACUGCAAGUCAGAUGUGAAAACCACGGGCUCAACCUGGGGCCGGCAUUUGAAACUGUAGUUCUGGAGUACUGGAGAGGCAGACGGAAUGCCUAGUGUAGCGGUGAAAUGCGUAGAUAUUAGGAGGAACACCAGUGGCGAAGGCGGUCUGCUGGACAGCGACUGACGCUGAGGCGCGAAAGCGUGGGGAGCAAACAGGAUUAGAUACCCGGGUAGUC